AGCAGCCGCGGUAAUUCCAGCUCCAAUAGCGUAUAUUAAAGUUGUUGCAGUUAAAAAGCUCGUAGUUGAACUUCGGGGUUUACCCAUUGGUCAGGCUUAAUUGUCUGUACUGGUGAGAUGAAUCUCUACCUUCUGAGGAACUUUCAUGCCAUUUAUUUGGUGUGAUGGGAAAUCAGGACUGUUACUUUGAAAAAUUAGAGUGUUUAAAGCAGGCUAACGUCUGAAUACAUUGGCAUGGAAUAAUGAAAUAGGACGGACUGAUUCUAUUUCGUUGGUUUCUAGGAUCACCGUAAUGAUUAAUAGGGAUAGUUGGGGGCAUUAGUAUUCAAUUGUCAGAGGUGAAAUUCUUGGGUUUAUUGAAGACUAACUACUGCGAAAGCAUUUGCCAAGGAUGUUUUCAUUAAUCAAGAACGAAAGUUAGGGGAUCGAAGACGAUCAGAUACCGUCGUAGUCUUAACCAUAAACUAUGCCGACUAGGGAUCGGACGAAGUUAAUUUUAUAAUGACGCGUUCGGCACCUU
RNAcentral lists this unclassified non-coding RNA (520 nucleotides) under uncultured Diversispora. Its description in RNAcentral is "SSU rRNA". It matches the Rfam family "Eukaryotic small subunit ribosomal RNA", at positions 569 to 1089 of the family's 1831-position model. The record is from RNAcentral. Lineage: Eukaryota; Fungi; Glomeromycota; Glomeromycetes; Diversisporales; Diversisporaceae.